Molecule: non-coding RNA, 97 nt
Organism: Mycena floridula
Lineage: Eukaryota; Fungi; Basidiomycota; Agaricomycetes; Agaricales; Mycenaceae
Source: the annotation of a GenBank genome assembly
GGGCACAUGGUGUAGUUGGUUAUCACACCCGCUUAGCAUGGAACAGUCUAACCUCCUCCUCUGCGGGAGGUGUUGAGUUCGAUCCUCAAUGUGUCCA